CGGCAACGGAUAUCUCGGCUCUCGCAUCGAUGAAGAACGUAGCGAAAUGCGAUACUUGGUGUGAAUUGCAGAAUCCCGUGAACCAUCGAGUCUUUGAACGCAAGUUGCGCCCGAAGCCUUCGGGCCGAGGGCACGCCUGCCUGGGCGUCACGC
Molecule: ribosomal RNA, 153 nt
Filed under: Dyschoriste albiflora
Lineage: Eukaryota; Viridiplantae; Streptophyta; Magnoliopsida; Lamiales; Acanthaceae
Description: partial 5.8S ribosomal RNA
Rfam family: 5.8S ribosomal RNA
About the family: 5.8S ribosomal RNA (5.8S rRNA) is a component of the large subunit of the eukaryotic ribosome.
Source: RNAcentral